Pseudopipra pipra is the source of this 788-nucleotide long non-coding RNA. RefSeq lists it as uncharacterized. Lineage: Eukaryota; Metazoa; Chordata; Aves; Passeriformes; Pipridae. The transcript has 3 exons. The record is from RefSeq and is a predicted model, not a curated record.
GUCCCUAUUUCCAACAGUUUUCCAGUGGUUGCAUUGAGUGCAGAGCCUCUCACAGAACGAGGAGGGGAUCAGUGAGGGAAAUGGUACCAACACAAGGAGAACCACAGGGAUGGCAGAGGAAAAAUCAUCCUUGCAGAAAUGCCAAUGUCAACCCCGGCAGGGAGAGGAGGAGGAAAACACACAAACCUCUGUGGGAAUGGUGCCUGCGUGGGAAAUAACACCCCAAAGGACCACGUUUGGGGGUGUCAGAGCCCCUCUGGUAACAGAAAUCUGGAGCUCCUGCCCAGACCACCACGGCUGGGACUGAGCAGCACUCUCCAGAGAAGAUGCCCAAACCACUGAACAGCGGGAGCAGCAGGAGAAGCCUCCCACAAAGGAUGUGUGUGAGUGGAGGGUGUUUAUCUCGGCUUCUGCUUUCCAAAAACCAGAAAGCACCUUGGUGUUGUGAAACAAGGACAAGUUUGGAAAAUGCUGUUGGCAGAGCUGUGAGCCCGGGGGAAAGCCUCAGAGUGGUGGGGGACAAGAGGACCUCUGGCCUCAGCUGCCUCGAAGGGACAGGGUGAGUCUGGGAGUGAAGCUGGUGCCAGUCUUGGGGUUAAGAAGAAAGUGAAAAAAAAGCUUAAUGUUAAAAACCCUGACAGAUGCUUUUAGGACAUGAGUAACACCUCUGACUACACUGGGACUGUGGGUCCACUCCAAGUGAUGUGCGUGCUAAGCGCUGCUUGGACCGGUGCCACCCGGCACUCGCUGCUGCUGGUAAUGAACUUGGCUUCUUUGGGAGCUGCAAG